CCAGAUGAGCACGCUCCGCGCAAUAAACAAAUAAAUAAUGCGCGGGCAUGGAGCAGCUGGUGUUGUGCCACGGGUGCCUAAUCCCGUGGCGCGCGUGGCUUCGUGCUCGUGAAGCGUGUUUCCCUAUAGCGGAAGGGAGAAAACGCGGUGUGCGGCGGAAUGCCUCUCGGGGCGUCGUGUUUGCAUUUCCCGGCAGCAGCUCUUGGGCUGCGGGGCGGCACGCUCGCGUUAUUUGUCUGGCACACUGCUCCCAUGGGCGUGCCAUCUUUGUUUUGGCGUCGUACCGUCUCUACGGCGGGCAUCCGUGGCGGACGUUUAUUUCUGGCCCGCCGAGAGGCGGCGUCGUUGGGCGGGCGUCUGGGGCCCUGCCCGAGGUUCGGGGCUCCAGAGUAUUGAGACGCGAGCGCGCACGAGGCUGGCGGAACCCGCGGUACACGGCCCAGAGCGUCGGCGGCGGGCGACGUCCUCCGGCGUGUGCCCGCCAUGAACCUUCUGGUUAUGGAUGCUGCUGCCGAAGCCGGCGAUGUCCCGGCCACCUCGGGUUCUACUCCGUUGGCUGAAGCGGUGGUCGUAGCGCCAGUGGGAGGCGAUCCUCCGUCGCUCCGAGCCUCAGGUCUGGCUGACCCUGAUUCGACGAGCAAGAGCGGUGGCGGCAGCCAUUGGAGCCCUGGACUAAGGGCCCCAACCACAUUAAUCCUUUCAUGUUAUAAUAAAGUUUAUUUCGUCUUUU
This is a long non-coding RNA of Dermacentor silvarum, 730 nucleotides long. RefSeq lists it as uncharacterized. NCBI's taxonomy places the organism in Eukaryota, Metazoa, Arthropoda, Arachnida, Ixodida, Ixodidae. The transcript has 2 exons. The record is from RefSeq and is a predicted model, not a curated record.